CCUAUGUCCAAGAAAAUUAAGGAAUGCAGACACAAGGGUCGGGGUGGAGUCAAAGUUUAAUAAGCAAAAAAGAAAGCUUUCUGCAGCAGAGAGGGGAGUCCAAGUGGAUUGCCGGGUUACAGCUGAAUUUAAAAGCGUUUUAUAAGAAACUGCUCUCUUCCCUGUAACUGUUGGAAUAACUUUUCUUACCAGUAAAGCUGUCUGUGCAAUUCUUCUUCUCUUAUGCAGCUGUGGGUAUGUCUCUAGGCAAGCACAAAGCCCCACUUCUCUUGUUUGUAUAACUGUGGGUUUGUUUUAGGGGUGGGGCCGCUUUAUAGGGUUUGGGAAGAUAAUGGAAAAUUACAGUCAAAGGGGGUUGUUCUCUGGUGGGCAGGGGCGGGGGUCACAAGGUGCUCAGUGGGGGAGCUUCUGAGCCAGGAGAAGGAAAUUCACAGGGUUAAUCACUCAGUUAAGGUGGGGCAGGAACAAAUCACAAUGGUGGAAUAUCAUCAGUUAAGGCGUGGCAGGGCCUUUUCACUUCUUUUGUGAUUCUUCAGUUACUUCAGGCCAUCUGGGCGUAUACAUGCAAGUCACAGGGGAUGCGAUGGCUUGGCUUGGGCUCAGAGACCUGACAUUCCUGCCUUCUGAUAUUAAUAAGAAAAAUAAAACAAAAUAGUGUUGAAGUGUUGGGGUGGCAAAAAUUUUUGGGGGGUGGUAUGGAGAGAGAAUGGGCGAUGUUUCUCAGGGCUGCUUCAAGCGGGAUUAGGGGCAGCGUGGGAACCUAGAGUGGGAGAGAUUAAGCUGAAGGGAGGUCUUGUGGUAAGGGGUGAUAUUGUGGGGAUGUUAGAAGAGACAUUUCUUGUAUAGAAUGAUUGGUGAUGGCCUGGAUACGGUUUUGGAUGAAUUGAGAAACUAAAUGGAAGAUACAAGGUCCGAAUAAAAGAAGGAGAAAAAUGGGUAUUAAAGGACUAAGAAUUGGGAGGCCCUAGGACAUCCAAUUAGAGAGUGCCUAAGGGGUUCAGCAUAAUUACUUGCUUGGUUGGCAAGUUUUUGGGCUCUAUCCUUGAGUUUUUUUAUGUUGUCAUACACCAGGCCAGAUUGAUUUAGGUAAAAACAACACUCUUCAUUUAAGAAUAUGCAGAGUCCUCCUUUUUCAGCAGUGAGUAAGUCAAGGCCUCGGCGGUUUUGGAGGACAACUGCAGCUAAAGAGUCAACUUGGAGUACUGAUAAAGUUUGUGACAUGUCUGUGAUGCUAGCAGAGAAGUCAUUAGAGAGGCUACGGAAGGUCGAGACAGAAGUUGAAAUGCCUGCUAUUCCAGUACUGAGAGCAAUAGUGGAGGCAGAAAGUCCUAAACCGACCAUCAAGGGAAUUAGUGGAAUAACUCUUCUUUGUCAUGUCGGUGUCAUGAGGGGAACAGGGAGCUCUUCGGUCCUAUUUGCAAAUUGAAUUUUGGGGGAAAGGAAGACUAGUGUGCAUGUGCCUGUCCAAUUAGCAGGUAGACACAUGUAGGUAGAGGAACCACAGAGGAAGAAGAGACCUUGUGCAAGGCAAAACUGGAGAUGUAAAGUAAAAAGAUGAGAAGGAGUGCUGAAAGGGGUGUCUUGUACCUAGAGUCCUAGGGAUCCAGCUAGGGCGGCAGCUGUCAGAGGUUGUAAUGGGGACUGAUGGGGUAACUGCGUAGAGGGGGAGGUUCAAUUUUCAUGGUGUAUGAGAAAACAUUGAGUAUCUAUGAGCAACCUUUCACUGUUAUUUUCGGGGCUGGAUAUAAGUAAACAAGAAUAGGGCCUGGGAGGAGAGUCUGAUGAGCAAGGGGAAGGUAGCCAAGGAUGGAGUUCAAUACAGGGUAAGUGUCUUCCUAAGCAAUAAUUACUGCUAACAUUUUUAAGUUUAUCAGUAUUGAUAGAGGGCUUGUCUGUAAUAUGGAGCUGGAAGGCUCCAAUUGUUUCAGUGAUGUGUGUAAUUGGGCUUCGGAGAUGAAGAGUAAAGGAACAUCGAGAGGGUGAAAGAUUACCUAGGGGAAUUCCAGUGGGUCUUUGCUGAGAGAUACAUAAAGGAGCGGCCACAGGAAUAGUAGUUUGUGUUGUGAGAGGUCCGAAUAUGGGGGGAGUAGAGUUAAUAUAAGGAGAAAGGUUUUUUAAAUAAGUGCGAAGGAGGGCGGCAGCUUGCUGAUGUGAAAUGUCUGGGGAAGUCUUGCUGGACCUGUCUAGAGAGUAAAUGAGUUCUUCAGGAGGGUAAAGAUGAGGGCUGCUAAAGGAAGUUCAGAGGUGUAGGGAGACGGGAGAUAUUGCCCAGUCUGUCUGUAAGGCGGGGACAGCUGUGUAGGCACUGGAAGAAAGGGAAAUGCAAAGCCAGCAGUUGUUCACUAAGGAGGGACUAGAAGUGGCUAGGAGAGAAUGGGUAAGGUUGAUAGUGUGGUGGAGAUAGCUGGGGAGAGGUAGAGGGUGGCAUAAGAAUGGGAACGAGAAUAAGAGUGAGUAUAAAAGUAAAGAAUAGAACUUCAUCAGGGUGGAAGUAUUGGAGGGUGCCUUGCCAGCAAAGAUCAUCUACCCACUCUAAGAGGGAGUUAAGAGUGGCAGUUUGGGGUUAGCACCAAGAGAUAUCAGCUGUGAUGGCUUGAAGAAACAGUGUAAACCGGCGGUGUAAAGAAGAGUAGGGCAUUUAUAAGUAGUUGAGAAUGGAGAAUAGGAGUAUGACCAGACAGAAGAUAGUAGGGAUGACUAGUUUUUUUGGGCUCGGCCUAAGUGGUUGGGGUGACUUCGUAAAGCCCUGUUGCAAAAAGUAGGGUAAGGACGAACAGACCUAAUAGAAUGAAGGGAUGUAUUAGGCUCAUAAGGGUUAUUACUGCUCUUCAGAAAUAUGAGUGAGUUUAAGGGAAGUAGGGGAGAGUACUUGCGGCUUCCAGGAGGAAGAGGAGGGAUUAGGCUGGCUGUCCGAUGGACACAGCUUUAUUCUGGAAUGGUGAACCUAGUGGGGAGGAUCCUGCAGGCAGACGGCAGUCGGGGUACUAUAGAAGACGAGGUAGCAUCCGGUCCAUCGAGGUUGUAGAGUUUGAGGGGUCAGAUUCUUAACAAGAACUGAUCAUCCAGCUAGGAUGUCUCCAUAUGGCUGGGGAUCUGGAGUAGGCAAGAGAAGAUUAGCAGCCUGGUGAAUUUCCUGUCUAGCCUGCUGGAGGACUGGAAGAUAGUCACCUAGAGGGCUGGUGUCUGGGAUGAGGUUGGGGCCAAGCAAGAAAGUGUGUCCAUAUAAAAGUUCAAAUGGACCGUACCCUGUAGCAUCUCAAGGACAGGCUCUAAUUCUGAGAAGAGCAAGAGGUAAAAGUACUGUCCAAUCCUUUUUAAGUUGGAGGCUGAGCUUGGUGAGGUUUACCUUUAAAAGACCAUUAGUCCAUUCUACCUUUCCUGAAGAUUGAGGAUGGUAAGGGAUAUGAAGGUUCCACUGAAUACCAAGAGCCUGAGAAACUGCUUGGGUGAUUUGACUAGUAAAGGCUGGUCUGUCAUCAGACUGUAUAGAGGUGGGAAGCCUAAACUGAGGAAUUAUGUCUGACAGAGGGGAAGAAAUGACUGUGGUGGCCUUCUCAGACCCUGUAGGAAAGGCCUCUACUUAUCUAGUGAAAGUGUCUACUUAGACUAAGAGGUAUUUUAGUUAUCUGACUUGGGGCAUGUUGAGUGAAGCUAAUUUGCCAGUCCUGGGUGGGGGCAAAACCUUGAGCUUGAUGUGUAGGGAAGGGAGGGGGCCUGAAUAAUCCUUGAGGAGUAGUAGAAUAGCAGAUAGAAUAGCAGAUGGAACACUUGAGAAGUUAUUUCCUUGAGGAUAGAUUUCUACAAUGGAAAGGAAAUGAAAGGUUCAAAGAGGCGGGCUAGUGGCUUGUACUAUAGCAUAGCCUGCCUUUGCUGAUGUGUGGUGAUUAGGCCUGGUGGAACUGCCAUCAAUAAAUCAAGCGUGAUCAGGGUGAGAAACAGGGAAGAAGGAAAUGUGGGGAAAUAGGAUGAACAUCAGGUGGAUCAGAGAGAUGCAAUCAUGAGGGUCAGGUGUGGUAUCAGGAAUACUGUGGGAGGCUGGAUUGAAGUCCAGGCCAGGAACAAUGGUAAUUGUGGGACUUAACAAAGAGUGAGUACAGCUGAAGGAGCUGGGGAACAGAAAGUAUAUGCGUCAGGUAUGAGGAAGAAAAUAGAUUUUGGAAGUUAUGAGAAAUGUAGAGAGUGAGUUGAGCAUUGUUUGUGAUUUUUAGGGCCUCUAAAAUUAUUAAAGCAGCAGCAGCUGCUGCACACAGACAUGAGGGCUAGGCUAAAACAGUAAGGUCAAGUUGUUUCGACAGAAAGGCUACAGGGUGCGGUCCUGGCUCUUGUGUAAGAAUUCUGACGGCACUAACCAUGCCUAGGAAGGAAAGGAGUUGUUGUUUUGUAAGGGAUUGAGGUUUGGGAGAUUAAUUGGACAUGAUCAGCAGGGAGAGCAUGUGUGUUUUUAUGAGAAUUAUGCAGAGAUAGGUAACAGAUGGAGAAGAAAUUUGAGCUUUGGAGGGGGAUACCUGAUAUCCUUUGGAGAAUAAAUGCUGAAGAAGCAGAAGUGUGUCUUGUUGAGAAGAUUCAAAGGAGGGGCUACAAAGAAGAAGGUCAUCAAUAUAUUGAAUAAGGUGAGAAGCAGAGGGGUGGAAAGAAAGUAGAUCAUGAGAAAGAGCUUGGCUGAAGUAAAUGAGGGCUGUCCCUGAAACCUUGCGGCAGCACAGCCCAGGUUUUGACAUAAUUUGGUGUCAGAAGUAGAAUUGAAGCUGGUUAGUUGGACAGAUGGACAACCCCUGAAAUUGAGUGAAUUGCCUGUGCUGAGCCCUUUUGAGCUCUCCACCUCCGUGGCUGACCUUUUCUACCCUGCUGAAUCUCCUCUCAGAUUCCUGGACUCCUUUUUGGGCUAAGGAAUUGGGUUACUUUGUGCCCCGCCUCUGCCCGCAGGGAAGACCAUUCCUGGAUUUACCCUUCGAGGGAGCAGUAGAAGCGGAUCUGGCAUGAAGUGGGGGACACAACUCCCCUUAUGCUCCCAGCACAUCUCCUGGGCUGAGGCCAUCUCAGAUUGGAAGACCAGCUUUCCAAAGCAAGUCUCCUCCACAUCAUGAAGGAGAAAAAGGUUGACACAGGGCAUGAGGAUGGCUUGUCUCUGCUCCCCGAUGUCUGGGCCUCAGCUGGGAAGAAUUCAUUGGCUGGGGCUGAAGGCUUCCCUGCUGGAAACUUCCCCACAUCUGGCACCCAGGCUGGGUAGACUGAAAAGCUCAGCUCAGUGGAGGCUGUUGACAGGGCCACCAAGACAGGGACUUCCUGGGGAGCCUGGGCUUCCACAGCAUGUUCUGACCAUGGAUGAAAACCAGCACAGGCCCAUCCAACUCCAAGAGAAGGCACAUAGACCCCGCUUCUCCAUGAAGAGAGUGCCAGAGGACAUGCAGCCAUUUUAAUAAACCACUGCAAGCCCCUUUGGUGAAUUAGGGGGUCAUGGGCCAGGACACAGUGAGGGCUGAGCUGCCACCUUCUCUGUCUUAGGGAGGGGGGAAGGAGAACACACAGAUGUUAACAAUUUUUGCCCUGUUUCAUUGGGAACUAAACGCAUUAUUUUAGUCCUUCCAAACAUAGACAGGAACUCUCGUCAUUCUGGGCCUCAGUUUCCCCAUCUGUAAAAUGAAGUAGUUGGAAUGGAUGAUCUUUUAAAGUCUAUUUUGACUUUUUAAAUCUAAGAUUCCACCAAGCCCCGCCCCUGUGAUUUGGCAGAUGAAAAUCCCUAGCGGAUUGUUCUUAAAGACCACCUGAGCUGGAGCCACACGGCUCCCACCUGCCUCCCGGGCUGCUUCUUGAUAGAGCAGGAGGAUCGCCAUCUUGGACAAGCCUCUCAUUCUAAAGUUCACCUUAAUCAAAAACCACCAAAAUCCAAAGGACAUCAGCCUAAUGGCUAAGGUCAGCACGACCUUAAACCAUAAAUAACAUCUCCAACCAGAAACAUUUCAAAUUCCUCCCCACCCAGAGACAUGCUAGUCCCGAGGUCAUCCUGCUCUGGCUGGGAAGAUGCCAUCCCUGAGAUAACCCCCCUCCAGCCAGAAAGAUGUCAUCCCCAAGGUAACCUCCCCUCCUUCUGGUGACAUUCUAGCCCUGCCAGAAAAC
RNAcentral lists this long non-coding RNA (6114 nucleotides) under Homo sapiens (human). Its description in RNAcentral is "HSALNT0023658". The record is from RNAcentral. Lineage: Eukaryota; Metazoa; Chordata; Mammalia; Primates; Hominidae.